RNAcentral lists this ribosomal RNA (818 nucleotides) under uncultured bacterium. RNAcentral describes it as "bacterial SSU rRNA". It matches the Rfam family "Bacterial small subunit ribosomal RNA", at positions 61 to 890 of the family's 1533-position model. The record is from RNAcentral.
GUCGAACGGACUUACAUUGAAGCCUAGCGAUAUGUAAGUUAGUGGCGGACGGGUGAGUAACGCGUGGGUAACCUGCCUUGUACUGGGGGACAACAGUUGGAAACGACUGCUAAUACCGCAUAAGCGCACAGCUUCGCAUGAAGCAGUGUGAAAAACUCCGGUGGUACAAGAUGGACCCGCGUCUGAUUAGCUGGUUGGUGAGGUAACGGCCCACCAAGGCGACGAUCAGUAGCCGGCCUGAGAGGGUGAACGGCCACAUUGGGACUGAGACACGGCCCAAACUCCUACGGGAGGCAGCAGUGGGGAAUAUUGCACAAUGGGGGAAACCCUGAUGCAGCAACGCCGCGUGAGUGAAGAAGUAUUUCGGUAUGUAAAGCUCUAUCAGCAGGAAAGAAAAUGACGGUACCUGACUAAGAAGCCCCGGCUAACUACGUGCCAGCAGCCGCGGUAAUACGUAGGGGGCAAGCGUUAUCCGGAUUUACUGGGUGUAAAGGGAGCGUAGACGGUUUUGCAAGUCUGAAGUGAAAGCCCGGGGCUUAACCCCGGGACUGCUUUGGAAACUGUAGGACUAGAGUGCAGGAGAGGUAAGUGGAAUUCCUAGUGUAGCGGUGAAAUGCGUAGAUAUUAGGAGGAACACCAGUGGCGAAGGCGGCUUACUGGACUGUAACUGACGUUGAGGCUCGAAAGCGUGGGGAGCAAACAGGAUUAGAUACCCUGGUAGUCCACGCCGUAAACGAUGAUUACUAGGUGUUGGUGGGUACGACCCAUCGGUGCCGCAGCAAACGCAAUAAGUAAUCCACCUGGGGAGUACGUUCGCA